This is a long non-coding RNA of Mercenaria mercenaria, 356 nucleotides long. RefSeq lists it as uncharacterized. NCBI's taxonomy places the organism in Eukaryota, Metazoa, Mollusca, Bivalvia, Venerida, Veneridae. The transcript has 2 exons. The record is from RefSeq and is a predicted model, not a curated record.
AUCUUUGUCAUCGAUGGAUGGAUUUUCAAAUAACUUGGCAUGAAUGUGUACCACAGUAAGACGACGUGUCGCGCGCAAGACCCAGUCCGUAGCUCAAAGGUCAAGGUCACACUUAGACGUUAAAGGUCAUAUUUCAUGAUAGUGCAUUGAUGGGCGUGUCCGGUCCAUAUCUUUGUCAUUCAUGCAUGGAUUUUAAAAUUAUUGGGCAUGAAUGUGUACCACAGUAAGACGACGUGUCGCGCGCAAGACCCAGGUCCGUAGGUCAAAGGUCCUAAACUCUAACAUCGGCCAUAACUAUUCAUUCAAAGUGCCAUCGGGGGCAUGUGUCAUCCUAUGGAGACAGCUCUUGUUUUUAA